This is a long non-coding RNA of Astatotilapia calliptera (eastern happy), 506 nucleotides long. The record is from Ensembl. NCBI's taxonomy places the organism in Eukaryota, Metazoa, Chordata, Actinopteri, Cichliformes, Cichlidae.
CACUAACACACUGACAAUUACACAAUUAAGUUGAGGAUAUAAUAAUACUCCACCUGCUGAAUGAUGCCUUGCUUGAAAGUGAGUUUACUCAGAAAGAAUGUUUGAAAAGAUCUUCACAACUGGAAACAUCGUCAACAACAAAACCAUCAUGAUUAUUCUACUUGUAGCUAUACAUUUGAUGAAUUCACUUCUGGUUUCAGCAGGUUCCUCGGACAGUGAUCAAGUCGACCAGACUCCAGCAGACAUUUACACAAAAGGAGAAGAAGCUAAAAUCCACUGCUCACACAGUAAUCCAAACUUUUACACAAUCCUCUGGUACAAGCAGUCAGAGAAACAGCUGCAACUGCUUGGAUACACGAAUUAUGAUAAGAGUUAUCCAGAACCUGGAGUAAAUAUGACAAUGGACGGGGACGCAAGACAGCACAAGAACUGCACAUUAACAAUUGAGUAUCUCAAACUAAGCAGCAGUGGAGUGUACUUCUGUGCUGCUAGUUACCACAGUGCUG